This 377-nucleotide ribosomal RNA is filed under the name uncultured bacterium. Its description in RNAcentral is "bacterial SSU rRNA". It matches the Rfam family "Bacterial small subunit ribosomal RNA", at positions 524 to 898 of the family's 1533-position model. The record is from RNAcentral.
UACGGAGGAUCCAAGCGUUAUCCGGAUUUACUGGGCGUAAAGAGCUCGUAGGCGGUUUGUCGCGUCUGCCGUGAAAGUCCGAGGCUCAACCUCGGAUCUGCGGUGGGUACGGGCAGACUAGAGUGAUGUAGGGGAGACUGGAAUUCCUGGUGUAGCGGUGAAAUGCGCAGAUAUCAGGAGGAACACCGAUGGCGAAGGCAGGUCUCUGGGCAUUUACUGACGCUGAGGAGCGAAAGCAUGGGGAGCGAACAGGAUUAGAUACCCUGGUAGUCCAUGCCGUAAACGUUGGGCACUAGGUGUGGGGGACAUUCCACGUUUUCCGCGCCGUAGCUAACGCAUUAAGUGCCCCGCCUGGGGAGUACGGCCGCAAGGCUAAA